AUCCAUGGUAGUUAUUGACCAAUAUGGUACUUAUUUAUUUAUUUUAUUUUAUUCAAAAAUGGUAGUUAUUGACUAAGGAUUAGGUUCAAACAUGAACAAAAUCUCAACUGCGUGAACUGAUCUGGACCAUUGAUUAUUAUGAUCUUGAUUAUUAAAUUGAAUGGCAUGAUGGUAAUUAUUUGAUUAAUUGUUACUAUUUAAUUAAAUGAAUAAGGGUAUAUAAAAUUGAUUGCAUUAAUCUCGUUCUCUCUCACAAAUCAACAUAUUCAAACCUUAUUCAAGAUCCAACUUUCUCUCUCAAAACAACCCCUCAUCUCAUAUCUCGCCGGCAUCAAAACAAACAUUCUUCUCAGAUCUCGCCAGCAUCGAAACAAAAACAGGGCCAACUUUCUCUCUCUCAAAACAAUCCCUCGUCUCAGAUCUCGCUGACAUCAAAACAAACACUCGUCUCAAAUCUCGCCGGCAUCGAAGACAAGAACUCCGGCGAACCCCAGUGGUGACAAUCGUGUAGCGACCAGAGGCCUUGCAACAUUCAUUAAGUUCGCACGAGUUAUUUACAGUUUCAUGUUUGCAAUUAAGGAGUUGUCGUUAACGAGAAAAGUGGAGAUGGAAGGUCGAUAAGGAUG
This is a long non-coding RNA of Helianthus annuus (common sunflower), 626 nucleotides long. RefSeq lists it as uncharacterized. The record is from RefSeq and is a predicted model, not a curated record. The transcript has 3 exons. NCBI's taxonomy places the organism in Eukaryota, Viridiplantae, Streptophyta, Magnoliopsida, Asterales, Asteraceae.